Molecule: ribosomal RNA, 468 nt
Filed under: uncultured bacterium
Lineage: Bacteria
Description: partial 16S ribosomal RNA
Rfam family: Bacterial small subunit ribosomal RNA
Source: RNAcentral
GACGAACGCUGGCGGCGUGCUUAACACAUGCAAGUCGAACGGAAAGGCCCUGCUUUUGUGGGGUGCUCGAGUGGCGAACGGGCGAGUAACACGUGAGUAACCUGCCCUUGACUUUGGGAUAACUUCAGGAAACUGGGGCUAAUACCGGAUAGGAGCUCCUGCUGCAUGGUGGGGGUUGGAAAGUUUCGGCGGUUGGGGAUGGACUCGCGGCUUAUCAGCUUGUUGGUGGGGUGGUGGCUUACCAAGGCUUUGACGGGUAGCCGGCCUGAGAGGGUGACCGGCCACAUUGGGACUGAGAUACGGCCCAGACUCCUACGGGAGGCAGCAGUGGGGAAUAUUGCACAAUGGGCGGAAGCCUGAUGCAGCAACGCCGCGUGCGGGAUGACGGCCUUCGGGUUGUAAACCGCUUUCGCCUGUGACGAAGCGUGAGUGACGGUAAUGGGUAAAGAAGCACCGGCUAACUACGUG